UUAGUGUACAUUAGAGGGAAUUCGAUUAGUUUGAUUAAUAUAUGGAGAGAGAGAGAGAGAGAGAGAGAGAGAGAGAGAGAGAGAGAGAGAGAGAGAGAGAGAGAGAGAGAGAGAGAGAGAGAGAGAGAGAGAGAGAGAGAGAGAGAGAGAGAGAGAGAGAGCACGUGUAGAAUAGGUUAGAUUAGUGAACAUUAGAGGGAAUUCGAUUAGUUUGAUUAAUAAAAAGAGAGAGAGAGAGACACAGACAGAGACAAACACAUAGACAGACACAAACAAACAGAGAGACAGACAGAGACACAGACAAACACAGACACAAACACAACGAAACUUACUCACACAAAAACCCAAAUAGAUACAGAUUCAAAGAUACACAGAGAUACAAAGAAACACAGACACACACAGACACAGACACAAAACGAGCUACAUGGACAACACAUGUACUACACAACCUCACAACACAGGCGGAACGGAGAGCGAGCGAGCGAGCAAGCAAGCGAGCAAGCAUCAGCAGCGUCGGACAAGGCCUCUGCCCCAGGGAAACAAUAUCUCACUGCUCGCUUCUUGCCGCGCGCUCAGCCCUUAAUGGAGAGUGUGUCGGGCCGGGCGUAAGUGCUGGCUGCCGCGCGGGUUUAUGGGGACGGAGACCACGGCGAGGCGGCGGUGAGACAGCCCAAUGAAGCCCAGCAAGAAGCAUGGCGGUUGUUUGCGAUGAUCUUAGACUUAGAGGGAGGGAGGGAGUGUCGAGACGGGGCAGGGAGAUAGAAAAGAGGAGGAGGAGAAGAUGGAGAGGAUGACAGGAAGAUAAAGAACAAGAACAAGAGGAAGAGAAGAAGACAGUUAUAUGAAGAAAAAUGAGAGGAUAACAGGGAAAUAAAGAAGAAAACAAGAACAAGAGGAAGAGGAGAAGAUAGUUAUAUGAAGAAAAAGAAAGGAGGAAGAGAAGGUGUUGGAGGAGGAGGAAAGGAUGAUAGGAAGAUAAAGGAGAACAAGAAUAGAAUAGAAGGAGGAGGAAGAGGAGCAGAAAACAAUAAUAUAAAGGAAAAAUGAAAGGAGGAGGAGAAGGAAGAGGAGGAGGAGGAGGAGGAGGAUGGCAAGAAGAUAAAGAACAAGAACAAGAGGAGGAGGAGGAGGAGGAGGAGAAAACAAAAAUAUGAAGAAGAAAAUGGAGAAAGGGAAACAAAACGAAGGAAAAAGAAAGAAAGGAGGAGAAGAAGAAAACGAAAAUAUGGAAAAAGGAAAAAAGAGAGGAGGAAAAAACAAAAGUAUGAACAACAGAAAAAGAAGGAAGGAGGAGAAGAGAAAGGAGGAGAUAAAGCAGAAAAAGGAAAGGAGGAGGAGGAGGAGGAGGAAAUAGAGGAUAUGAUCGUGGUGAUAGCGAUGAUGAGGAUGAGAAAGAUGAACAAAAAAUUGAUUACGUACAACAAGAACAGUAACGAGAAAAAUAAGAAAAUUAGGAGGAGGAAGAAGAGAAGAAAACUUGUAGAUGAGGAUAAAAGAAAAAAAAAAUACAAACGCAUAUGAUAAUGGAGAUCACGAAGAUAAAACUGAACAAGUACGAAAAGAAAAAAAAAAGAAAAAAAAGAAGAGGAGGAAGAGGAGACGUAAACAAGAAGAUUAUGCAAAUGAAAGAAAGAAAAAAGAAGAAUAGAUGAGAUGAUGAUGGCGAUGAUAAUGAUGAUAAACAAAAAAAGUAUUGAAGUACAAGAAAAGAACAAGAAUUAGAAGAAAAGGAAGAGGAGGAGGAGGAGAAGAGGAAGAAGAAAACAAGAAGAAGAAAAAUUAAAAGAGAGAAGACAAGAUGAGAUGAUGACAAUGAUGAUAAUGACAUACAAAAAUGGGAAAGAAUACAAGAAAAACAAGAACUAGAAAAAAAAAAGAGGAAGAGAACGAGGAGAAAACACGAAGAUUAUGAAGAUGGAAAGAAAGAGCAAAGAAUAGAUGAGAUAAUAGACAAAAAUUAGCAAGUACAAGAGAAAAACAUUAAACUAGAAUAAGGAAGAAGAGGAAGAGGAGGAGGAGAGAAAAAAUAAGAAGAUAAAGCAGAAAAAGGAGAGAAUUAGGAGGAGAAGAUAAAAGAGAUGAUUCUGGGGAAGGCAAUGAUAUACAAAAAAAAGAAAAAUGAGAGGAUUAGAAGAAGGAGGAGGAGGAGGAGAAAAAGAUGAAAGAGAUGAUUCUGGGGAAGGCAAUGAUAUAAAAAAAAGAUAAAGGAGAGGAUUAGAAGAAGGAGGAGGAGGAGGAGGAGGAAAAGAUGAAAGAGAUGAUUCUGGGAAAGGCAAUGAUAUAUAAAAAUGAGAAAAAAAAUAUAUUAAAAGAAAAACUAGGAUAGAAGGAGAAGUAAAAAGAAGAGAAGGAAAGGAGGAGGAGGAGGAGAGGAAGAAGAUGAAGAAUUAGAAGAAGGAAUGAAGAGAUGAGAUGAAGAUGGAGAUGACAAAUGAUGAUGAUAUGCAAAAACGAAAAAGCAUAAGCAAAAAAAAAUAUGAAGUAGAAAAAGAGAAAGAGGAGAAGGGGAAGAAGAUGAAGAAUUAGAAGAAGGAAUGAAGAGAUGAGAUAAAGAUGGAAAUGACAAAUGAAAAUGGUAUGCAAAAACGAAGAACUAUAAGCAAAAAAAAAAACAUUAACUAGAAAAAAGAUUGAGAAAGAAGAGGAAGAGGAGGAGGAGAAGGAGGAGAAGUAAGAUCGUUUGAGUAAUGAACCUUUCUUAAUUAAUUCAUGCAGGUUACAGGUACAGGUUACAGGCUUCUCAUAAGGAACCUGGACCCGACCCAACCUGACCAACCGACCCGAUUACCGAUAAAGAUCAAAGAGGGGAAAAAAGCUGAAAAAAUAUCGAAACUCAUCCAGAAAAAAAGAAGAAAAAAACUACCCCGUGAAAACAAGAUAAUGAUUAGAGGAAAGAAAGAAAGGAGGAGAAAAGAUACUGAAGAAAAAAAGAAAACUAAAAA
Eriocheir sinensis (Chinese mitten crab) is the source of this 2942-nucleotide long non-coding RNA. RefSeq lists it as uncharacterized. NCBI's taxonomy places the organism in Eukaryota, Metazoa, Arthropoda, Malacostraca, Decapoda, Varunidae. The record is from RefSeq and is a predicted model, not a curated record. The transcript is spliced from 2 exons.